GCACUGCUGAUGAGAUCCAAACAGGUCGAAAUAUAUGUCCAGUGC
This is a non-coding RNA of Echinostoma caproni, 45 nucleotides long. NCBI's taxonomy places the organism in Eukaryota, Metazoa, Platyhelminthes, Trematoda, Plagiorchiida, Echinostomatidae. The record is from Rfam.